AUAAUGGCUGGCUCUCAGUGUUUAUUUUGCUGAUAUAUUUUUUCUCUUUCUGGUACCAGGGAUGGAACUCAGGACCUUGUGCUUGCUAGGCACGCAUGGCACCACUGAGCUAAAUCCCCAGCCCUAUUUUUUUUUGAGGUUUUUAAUCCAUUUUGCUGCUACUUAAACAGAAUCCUUUCUACCUCAUUAUUUUUCUUAUACACAAGAUGACUAAUAAUUUUUGCACAAAAGUUAUGUACCAGGAGUUCACAGCUAAGAGUUUGCCUUGAGCCUCAGAAGAGACUUUGGACUUGGAGUAUUCAGCACUGCUAAAACUGUUAAAAUUUUAACAAUUCUUAGAGGGAUGGACUAAAUGUAUUUUGCAUAAUGAGAUAUGAUUGUGCAGCCCUUAUAUGAAGACCUAGACCGAAAGAAAUCAGAAUGUGAGGCCUGAGAAGACUUUCCCAAGGUUGGCUAUAUGAGCUACUAAUUCUUAAGGAAUCUACUAAGAGGAUGAAGAGCUGGUUAGGAGUUUUGAAAUCCUUGUGAAGUUGGCAGAGACAUUGGAGUACACAGACUUCCAAGAACUUUGGGACCCAGAGGGCUGCUUGGUUCAUGCUUGGAGAAAAGCACUCCAGCCUAUUCUCUCCUGGUGGGAUGAGAAGAACACGGUUGCAGUGGAUGAAGGUGGACUGUGGAUGGAAAUGGAACUGACAGCCACUAUAAAGUUUUAAAAAGGCACUGCAAAAGCUCCAAGGGGUGGGCGCUGCCUGUCUCAGGAGACGUCCUUGGUACCAGCAUCUUUUUCUUCAGACCUGCCAUCUGUUCCAGUGAAUAAUUCUACCAACCACGUUUUCCAUGAUUUGCCUCAUUAUGUCUCCACGUCCUUUACACACAUAGAACAUGAUGUCUGGCACACUGAAUAAGCUGUCUACUAGACAUUAUGGCAACAUGUAAUCAACAAGGUCAACCUGAGAAACAGUAGUGGAAUGGAGGGUCAGAAAGAUGGCUUUGCUCCUAAGAUGCAGAUCCUUGAUCCUUCGACCAUCUCUAGCCCUUGCUGAGCACAGCUGUAUAAAGAUUUGAGGGGGAUCAAACUCAGAACCUUGCACUCGUGAGGCAGGCGACAGCACCACUGAGGCUUACAAUGGCUGCCUGAAGAGUCAGAUGUGGAAGAAUGCAAAGGGAUGUCUGCAUGUUGGAGAUCCAAGGAUCCACUCAAAAGUCAAAAGCCUGGAAAUCACUACAGAGUCCUGCGUGAGUCCAUAUCAGGAAGCAGAAGA
This 1262-nucleotide long non-coding RNA is filed under the name Heterocephalus glaber (naked mole-rat). RNAcentral's name for it is "lncRNA (ENSHGLG00100046940.1)". The record is from RNAcentral. Lineage: Eukaryota; Metazoa; Chordata; Mammalia; Rodentia; Bathyergidae.